RNAcentral lists this ribosomal RNA (428 nucleotides) under uncultured bacterium. RNAcentral describes it as "partial 16S ribosomal RNA". It matches the Rfam family "Bacterial small subunit ribosomal RNA", at positions 354 to 796 of the family's 1533-position model. The record is from RNAcentral.
GUAGGGAAUAUUGCGCAAUGGGGGAAACCCUGACGCAGCGACGCCGCGUGAGUGAUGAAGGCCUUCGGGUCGUAAAGCUCUGUUGCAGGGGAAUAAAAAAAUGAAGGUACCCUGUGAGGAAGGAUCGGCUAACUUCGUGCCAGCAGCCGCGGUAAGACGAGGGAUCCUAGCGUUGCUCGGAAUCAUUGGGCGUAAAGCGGAUGUAGGUGGCUAUGUAAGUCAGAUGUGAAAGCCUGGGGCUCAACCCCAGAAGUGCAUUUGAUACUGCGUAGCUUGAGUGUCGGAGAGGUUACUAGAAUUGUUGGUGUAGUGGUGAAAUACGUAGAUAUCAACAGGAAUACCGGAGGCGAAGGCGGGUAACUGGCCGAACACUGACACUGAGAUCCGAAAGCGUGGGGAUCAAACAGGAUUAGAAACCCGAGUAGUCC